CUAAGGCUAAAUACUCUCUAGUGACCGAUAGUGAACCAGUACCGUGAGGGAAAGGUGAAAAGCACCCCGGAAGGGGAGUGAAAUAGAACCUGAAACCGUGUGCUUACAAGUAGUCAGAGCCCGUUAAUGGGUGAUGGCGUGCCUUUUGUAGAAUGAACCGGCGAGUUACGAUUUGAUGCAAGGUUAAGCAGUAAAUGUGGAGCCGUAGCGAAAGCGAGUCUGAAUAGGGCGUUUAGUAUUUGGUCGUAGACCCGAAACCAGGUGAUCUACCCUUGGUCAGGUUGAAGUUCAGGUAACACUGAAUGGAGGACCGAACCGACUUACGUUGAAAAGUGAGCGGAUGAACUGAGGGUAGCGGAGAAAUUCCAAUCGAACCUGGAGAUAGCUGGUUCUCUCCGAAAUAGCUUUAGGGCUAGCCUCAAGUGAUGAUUAUUGGAGGUAGAGCACUGUUUGGACGAGGGGCCCCUCUCGGGUUACCGAAUUCAGACAAACUCCGAAUGCCAAUUAAUUUAACUUGGGAGUCAGAACAUGGGUGAUAAGGUCCGUGUUCGAAAGGGAAACAGCCCAGACCACCAGCUAAGGUCCCAAAAUAUAUGUUAAGUGGAAAAGGAUGUGGCGUUGCCCAGACAACUAGGAUGUUGGCUUAGAAGCAGCCAUCAUUUAAAGAGUGCGUAAUAGCUCACUAGUCGAGUGACACUGCGCCGA
Molecule: ribosomal RNA, 705 nt
Filed under: Staphylococcus aureus
Lineage: Bacteria; Bacillati; Bacillota; Bacilli; Caryophanales; Staphylococcaceae
Description: partial 23S ribosomal RNA
Rfam family: Bacterial large subunit ribosomal RNA
Source: RNAcentral